Molecule: long non-coding RNA, 219 nt
Filed under: Citrus maxima (pomelo)
Lineage: Eukaryota; Viridiplantae; Streptophyta; Magnoliopsida; Sapindales; Rutaceae
Description: long non-coding RNA (CMAX_LNC003051)
Source: RNAcentral
CGAAUGUUACUCACGUCUUUUAAAGCGUAAAGGUAUGAUGGGUUGAUGUAUGUGGCUGGAGUUGGACACAAAAUAGUUUCAAUCCAAAAGACUGAAUAGAGUACAGAAAUCCUCAGCUGCAUAGUUAUUUGUCUUUAAUUUGUUAGCUAAAGUACCUAUUGGGAUGCCCUUCUUUCCUAAGAAAUAAUUGGCCCAUAAGCCAGUUAUCUCACUAUUUUU